Molecule: long non-coding RNA, 2081 nt
Organism: Cannabis sativa
Lineage: Eukaryota; Viridiplantae; Streptophyta; Magnoliopsida; Rosales; Cannabaceae
Exons: 3
Source: RefSeq, a predicted model, not a curated record
CAAUGCUCAUUUUUAAAAGUUUCACUAUUCGCGGCAAACCCGAAAAUUUUCCUGCUAUAUUUGCAGUUCCUAUAUGCAUGUUAUUCUCUCAAACCCUCAUCCCCAAGUCACAUCCUAACAUUUUCACUAUUCGCGGCAAACUCCAAAAGUUUUUUGAGAUUUUUGAUGCUCAUCCCCAAAUUUGGCACCAUUCAUCGUUCUCCGCCUCCGACAGCUCUGGACAGCUCCGAUGAGUUCUUUCAAGUUAUCUCCAUUUAUAAUUGAUCUUGUUUCUUCCUCCCUUUGAUCAUUUUAAGUUAUUGGCAUCCCAAAAGCGGUUGGAUAAUAGGUACUGCAAGGCACAAUUUAUCUUCGAGAAAGGAGAUGAGGAUCUUGCACGUGAAGCUGUAACGAGGAGAACAACUUUGCAGUUGGAUUUCUAAAGAUAAAGACCUCAACUCGAUUAUUACUUCAUCAGUCAACUUCCAUCCAAGUGCACCAGCAAAUUCAGCAACCUGUUCUGCAUACUUGGCUUCUGGGAUUGGCACUACACUGUCUCGGUUAGGAGCAAGCUAAGGACCAUGUAGAUAGGAGUAACAUGUUCUCUUUAGAUCCCAGCAAAACCAGUUGUGUAUGUGAUUUAUAAAUCUUAACAUAAGAAGCUUUUUGCAGGACAUAUUUUGACCCUUAAUGAUAAAGGAAAAAAAAACAUUGAUUGGUUAAUUGUGUACUCUCUCUCUCUCUCUCUCUCUCUCUCUCUCUCUCUCUCUCUCUCUCUCUCUCUCUCUCUCUCUCUCUCUCUCUCUCUCUCUCUCUCUCUCUCUCUCUCUCUCUCUCUCUCUCUCUCUCUCUCUCUCUCUCUCUCUCUCUCUCUCUCUCUCUCUCUCUCUCUCUCUCUCAUGGGUAAGCUUAAUUGCUUCAAAUGCAUGUUACUAACUUUUGCAAUUAGAAAUUAAUAUACAUCUUUUUAGUCUUCUUUUUAUUGCUCUGUUUCAAAGCUAUGUUUUUCCAUGACAUUUUGCAUUUUUUUUGACAGACUGGGAAGGAUUUUAUGCGAAGAUUGUAAGGGACAAAAGUUAUCUUUCCAGCAUUAGAUUGAAGUUGUAAGAUUAUAAUUGAAAUUUCAAUUAUUUAAGUAGUAGAUAGAUAUUUUACAGUUAUAUCUGGAAAACGUUGGAAAAGUUAUUUUUAAUACUAAUGGCCUUGUCUACUUUGGUACUGUAGAUAGCACUUAUCCCUUUGGAUAUUUUUGUUCUAUGUUAUGUACCAAAUCAAUAUAAGUUACAAGCUGUAGGGUCAUGGUGUUAAUGAAAAUAAGGAUAGUUCAUGUUCAUCCUUACUUUGUACUCAGGUGGGCCCUAAGGUAAAGAGCAGCUUGAGAUUAAACAUUCAUACUAAGAGACUACAAUUGAACAUUUGAAAUGUGUUUUGGUGUGAUAUUGAGACAUUUGUCUGAUGUGUGUGCUUGGCCUCUCUAUUUGAUGCAUCUAUGUACAUGUGUAUGUGUUUUUUUUUUAAUUUGUGGUGCAUAGUCGUGUGAAAAAAAACACUGAAGAGUAAUAAACUGUAGGAGCAAAUAUGAGGGACAAUUUCAAGGUGAUUAUGCAUACACCAUGGAUAAUCUACAAUAAAUGCACACAAGUAUUGAAACACUUAACAAUUGUGAAAUAAUAGCACCAUAAUUGUACCAUAGUACUAAUUAAGAUGACAACUCAAGAAUUUUUCAUGACAACUCAUGAAUUCUUGGUGGAAGGACUCUUCAACACCUUCUCUUAAGAUAUUCAAGCUCUUUUAAUCAUUGAUCUUUCUUCCUUAGAGGUGGCUGCUUCAAUGGUUCUCUCAAAACAUUGUAGCUUUUGGUUCGUGAGACUUAGCUUGGGUGCGAAGAGGGGAGCAAUUGGGCAGCUCACGCACUUACUAAAUGGUCAAACUCUACUGGCAUUACAGGUGAGAUCAUGCCUAUCGAUUUUCAGAGAGUGCUCUAAGAGUUGGAGAGGUGUGUGUGUUUAGCUUCUUGGUAGGAGCCAAAUCAGUGGGCUUUUCAUUCUCUCUCUCUCUUAGCUUUUUCUGUGUUCCUUGUUGGCAGCUUUGAUUGGUGGAGU